CUUUACAACUUUUGGCAAUGGAUGUCUUGGGUCCCACAACGAUGAAGAACGCAGCGAAAUGCGAUACGUAAUGCGAAUUGCAGGACCUCGUGAAUC
RNAcentral lists this ribosomal RNA (96 nucleotides) under Stephanocyclus meneghinianus. RNAcentral describes it as "Cyclotella meneghiniana 5.8S ribosomal RNA". It matches the Rfam family "5.8S ribosomal RNA", at positions 1 to 90 of the family's 154-position model. From Rfam's summary of the family: 5.8S ribosomal RNA (5.8S rRNA) is a component of the large subunit of the eukaryotic ribosome. The record is from RNAcentral. Lineage: Eukaryota; Bacillariophyta; Thalassiosirophyceae; Thalassiosirales; Thalassiosiraceae.